CUCAUCCGAUAGUUAUUGGCCUCAUUCCUUAAUUAAGUUAGAUCCACCAUUCUUGCGUAAGUGAAGACAUCAUUAGAUCCUUCACCUAAUAAUUAUUGGUUACAACCCCAUCUCCACUCUGAACAUCUCAAAUUAAUAGAGUGGUUGCACUUUUGAAAUGUAAUUGAACUACUAUAUCUAGUCGAGAAUAAUCAACAUCAGUAGAGCAUCCGCAUAUUUACAAUGACGGAAGAUUGCUUAACUUAAUAUCUAUGAGAAGAUUUAAUUUAGGUUUCGUUGUUUGUAAUUGUUUAUUUACAUCCAAUGUAAAUCCAUAAUUAAUGGAUCUACUUGAGAGAUCCUAGCUUGGUUCACUAAGACCGGACUCAUGGUGCAAAGCAAAUGUAAUGAACUUAACACGAAGCACUCCAAAAUAGAAUUUGAUCAACCAGACAAUCAGGUAAGUGCAAGAUUUGUGGGAGGCUCCCUAUGCUUUCACAAUAGUCCUAACUAAGUAACCACCAUUCUUUUGAUCAACCAGACGAUCAGGUAAGUGCAAGAUUUGUGGGAGGCUCCCUAUGCUUUCACAAUAGUCCUAAUUAAGUAACCACCAUUCUUGAAAUACUUAGACACC
RNAcentral lists this long non-coding RNA (613 nucleotides) under Elaeis guineensis (African oil palm). RNAcentral describes it as "long non-coding RNA (EGUI_LNC052263)". The record is from RNAcentral. Lineage: Eukaryota; Viridiplantae; Streptophyta; Magnoliopsida; Arecales; Arecaceae.